RNAcentral lists this ribosomal RNA (497 nucleotides) under uncultured bacterium. Its description in RNAcentral is "partial 16S ribosomal RNA". It matches the Rfam family "Bacterial small subunit ribosomal RNA", at positions 28 to 507 of the family's 1533-position model. The record is from RNAcentral.
GAUGAACGCUGGCGGCGUGCCUAAUACAUGCAAGUCGAGCGAACGGACGAGAAGCUUGCUUCUCUGAUGUUAGCGGCGGACGGGUGAGUAACACGUGGAUAACCUACCUAUAAGACUGGGAUAAUUUCGGGAAACCGGAGCUAAUACCGGAUAAUAUUUUGAACCGCAUGGUUCAAAAGUGAAAGACGGUCUUGCUGUCACUUAUAGCUGGAUCCGCGCUGCAUUAGCUAGUUGGUAAGGUAACGGCUUACCAAGGCAACGAUGCAUAGCCGACCUGAGAGGGUGAUCGGCCACACUGGAACGGGAACACGGUCCAGACUCCUACGGGAGGCAGCAGUAGGGAAUCUUCCGCAAUGGGCGAAAUCCUGACGGAGCAACGCCGCGUGAGUGAUGAAGGUCUUCGGAUCGUAAAACUCUGUUAUGAGGGAAGAACAUAUGUGUAAGUAACUGUGCACAUCUUGACGGUACCUAAUCAGAAAGCCACGGCUAACUACGUG